Molecule: ribosomal RNA, 695 nt
Filed under: uncultured bacterium
Lineage: Bacteria
Description: bacterial SSU rRNA
Rfam family: Bacterial small subunit ribosomal RNA
Source: RNAcentral
UAACACGUGAGCAACCUGCCUUUCAGAGGGGGAUAACGUUUGGAAACGAACGCUAAUACCGCAUGACAUAUCGGUACCGCAUGGCACUGAUAUCAAAGGAGCAAUCCGCUGAAAGAUGGGCUCGCGUCCGAUUAGCUAGAUGGCGGGGUAACGGCCCACCAUGGCGACGAUCGGUAGCCGGACUGAGAGGUUGAUCGGCCACAUUGGGACUGAGACACGGCCCAGACUCCUACGGGAGGCAGCAGUGGGGGAUAUUGCACAAUGGGGGAAACCCUGAUGCAGCGACGCCGCGUGAGGGAAGAAGGUUUUCGGAUUGUAAACCUCUGUCCUCAGUGACGAUAAUGACGGUAGCUGAGGAGGAAGCCACGGCUAACUACGUGCCAGCAGCCGCGGUAAUACGUAGGUGGCAAGCGUUGUCCGGAAUUACUGGGUGUAAAGGGAGCGUAGGCGGGAAUACAAGUUGGAUGUCUAAUCUACCGGCUUAACCGGUAUUCGCAUUCAAAACUGUAUUUCUUGAGUGAAGUAGAGGCAGGCGGAAUUCCUAGUGUAGCGGUGAAAUGCGUAGAUAUUAGGAGGAACACCAGUGGCGAAGGCGGCCUGCUGGGCUUUAACUGACGCUGAGGCUCGAAAGCGUGGGUAGCAAACAGGAUUAGAUACCCUGGUAGUCCACGCUGUAAACGAUGAUUACUAGGUGU